UGCGUUUAUUUGGAACACAUGAAAAAAAAAUCCAGCCACUCCAAAUCGUUUCUUAACAGAAAAGUUGAAACUAGAUUAAACAAUCCUAUAAACUCAUUCUAACAGCUGUAGGGGAUCUACGUUAAUUGGGGAUAGUUCUUCUCGAAUAAUUUCUAAUCUACUACAAAUCCAAAUCAGCAAAAACUAUAGUUUAAAUAAAGCAGAUAUGAACAACUUAGGCAACAACAGGCUCAAAUCUCCAUUUUCAUUCCAAUUGCAAAGUGUGUACAAAAGGGGUGUACCUGAAUUUGUAAACCACAGCAAGAGAAAACACCAGUCAGCAAGGACAAACGAUUAGCACAGAAACAAAUAAUAUUAUCCAGCAGAUUCCAACAACCAGAAGAAUUUCAAUUGCCAUAAAUGUUUUAAAACAAACAAUAACACCACAGAGUGCUCCCAAACAGCCUCGAAUUGGCCAGAUCUCGCCAAAUUUCUACUUAAGCUGAUUCAAUUAUCCCCGGAAUGGACUUCAACACUCUUAUCAAGAGAAGUAGUGACUAAAACUGUGAAUUAACUUUAAAGAAGCUCUUAUUCUCAAUGGAACAGUAACGUUUGGUCUAUUUUUUAAAAAGUUUUUGAUUUGUAUUUCUUCUUCUUCUUUUUUUCUUAAUAUGAGGUGGCCUUCUUCGAAUCAGGAGAAUGGAAAAGUGAUUUUGGGCUUAAU
RNAcentral lists this long non-coding RNA (703 nucleotides) under Nicotiana benthamiana. RNAcentral describes it as "long non-coding RNA (NBEN_LNC033249)". Lineage: Eukaryota; Viridiplantae; Streptophyta; Magnoliopsida; Solanales; Solanaceae. The record is from RNAcentral.